Molecule: ribosomal RNA, 964 nt
Filed under: Cladotaenia vulturi
Lineage: Eukaryota; Metazoa; Platyhelminthes; Cestoda; Cyclophyllidea; Paruterinidae
Description: large subunit ribosomal RNA
Rfam family: Bacterial large subunit ribosomal RNA (bases 638-917)
Source: RNAcentral
UAAUUUAGUAAUUAAUUUAUUAAUUUAUUUGGUUUAAUAUGCCUUUUGCAUCAUGCUUAAUGGAUUAUUUAAUUUUAUAAUUUUGACCGAAAGGUUCUGAUCUUAUAUUAUAUUGUUUGGAACUUAUAAUUCUUAAGUAAAGUUUUAAAAAUAGUGAUAUAAGUAGUGAUAAAUUAAUCGGUGAACCUUAUAUCUGUUUAGUUGUUUUGAUUUAUUUAUACUCAAGGUUAUAAGAUUUUGUGUAUGAUUAUAUCAUUUAUUAUUUAAUUUUAAAAAUGGGUUAAAAGUACCCAUUUUUUAUAAAAUUGUUAAAAAUUUAUGUAUAAAAUAUUUAUUUGAUUAAUUUUAUCUGCAACUGUUGAAUAUUAUAUUAUUUAUAUCAUUAAAUAAGUAAUUAUAUUGUAUUAAUUAAUUCUCAAUUAUUAUCCGUCUGUUUUUUAAAAACAUUUCUAAUUGUUAAUAUUAUUAGUAGUACCUGCCCAAUGUUUUAUGAAUGGCCGCAGUAUAUUGACUGUGCAAAGGUAGCAUAAUUAAUUGUCUCAUAAUUGGAGACUUGUUUGAAUGGUUUGACGAGAUAAUUAUAAAUAUUUGAUACUUAAGUGAAAUUAAUCUAGAGGGUAUAGAAUCCUCUAUAAUUAAUAAGACGGAAAGACCCUGGGAUCUUAUAAUUUUGCUUGGGGCAAGUUUUAAUAUUGUAUUAAAAUUAUGACCCUAUUUAUGGAUUAAUGGGUUAAGUUACCCCAGGGAUAACAGGGUUAUAAUUAAUUAGAGAUCAUAUCGAAUUAAUUGUUUGCCACCUCGAUGUUGACUUAGAUUAUAAUUUAGACGCAAUAGUUUAAAUUUUUGGUCUGUUCGACCAUAUUAAUCUCCAUGAGUUGAGUUAAGACCGAUGUAAAUCAGGUCGGUUCUUAUCUAUUGUUGAGACUUAUUAGUACGAAAGGAUCAUAAGUCUUUUUGGGUAUGU